Non-coding RNA from Triticum urartu, 134 nucleotides. The record is from Rfam. NCBI's taxonomy places the organism in Eukaryota, Viridiplantae, Streptophyta, Magnoliopsida, Poales, Poaceae.
AUGGUACUCCCUCCGUCUCAAAAUUCUUGUCUUAGAUUUGUCUAGAUAUGGAUGUAUCUAAUACUAAAACGUGACUUGAUACAUCCGUAUUUAGACAAAUCUAAGACAAGAAUUUUGAGACGGGGGAAUACCUA